RNAcentral lists this ribosomal RNA (207 nucleotides) under uncultured bacterium. RNAcentral's name for it is "partial 16S ribosomal RNA". It matches the Rfam family "Bacterial small subunit ribosomal RNA", at positions 568 to 774 of the family's 1533-position model. The record is from RNAcentral.
CGCGUAGGCGGCCACGCGUGUCUUUCGUGAAAUCCCUCGGCUUAACUGAGGACGUGCGGAAGAAACUGCGAGGCUUGAGUCCGGGAGAGGGGGGUGGAAUUCCCAGUGUAGCGGUGAAAUGCGUAGAUAUUGGGAGGAACACCGGUGGCGAAGGCGGCCCCCUGGACCGGUACUGACGCUAAAGCGCGAAAGCGUGGGUAGCAAACG